This 285-nucleotide small RNA is filed under the name Jaculus jaculus (lesser Egyptian jerboa). RNAcentral's name for it is "7SK RNA (ENSJJAG00000006836.1)". The stretch from base 1 to 180 matches the Rfam family "7SK RNA". From Rfam's summary of the family: 7SK was discovered as an abundant small nuclear RNA in the mid-70s but a possible function has only recently been suggested. The record is from RNAcentral. Lineage: Eukaryota; Metazoa; Chordata; Mammalia; Rodentia; Dipodidae.
AAAUAGGAGGGUGAUCUGGCUACAAUAUGUCACUAUGUUUAUAACCAGGAUUGCUUGGCUUAUCAGGUUGGCUGGGCAAGUGUUCUCCUCUUCCUCUCUCAUUGUUCAAUGUGCUUCCCUUCUGAAGCUAAAUACUGAGUCAAAAAUGUCCUUUCCCAAUAGGAGGACCUUUUUUUUAAGAGAGAGAGAAAGAAAAUUGGCAUGCCAGGGCCUCUACCACUGAAGUCGAACUCCAGACACUUGUGUCACCUAGUGCGCAUGUGCGACUUUGCACUUACAUUACCU